UACAGAGGGGGCAAGCGUUGUUCGGAAUUACUGGGCGUAAAGGGCGCGUAGGCGGCCUUCUAAGUCGAACGUGAAAUCCCCGGGCUCAACCCGGGAACUGCGUCCGAUACUGGAAGGCUUGAAUCCGGGAGAGGGAUGUGGAAUUCCAGGUGUAGCGGUGAAAUGCGUAGAUAUCUGGAGGAAUACCGGUGGCGAAGGCGGCAUCCUGGACCAAUACUGACGCUGAGGCGCGAAAGCUAGGGGAGCAAACGGG
RNAcentral lists this ribosomal RNA (253 nucleotides) under uncultured bacterium. RNAcentral describes it as "partial 16S ribosomal RNA". It matches the Rfam family "Bacterial small subunit ribosomal RNA", at positions 524 to 776 of the family's 1533-position model. The record is from RNAcentral.